GCGAACGUGGCGAAAUUGGCAGACGCGCUAGAUUUAGGUUCUAGUGGGAUAUUCUCGUGAGAGUUCAAAUCUCUCCGUUCGUA
Molecule: transfer RNA, 83 nt
Filed under: Schizocladia ischiensis
Lineage: Eukaryota; Schizocladiophyceae; Schizocladiales; Schizocladiaceae
Description: tRNA-Leu
Rfam family: tRNA
About the family: Transfer RNA (tRNA) molecules are approximately 80 nucleotides in length.
Source: RNAcentral